GCAAGUCUGGUGCCAGCAGCCGCGGUAAUUCCAGCUCCAAUAGCGUAUAUUAAAGUUGUUGCAGUUAAAAAGCUCGUAGUUGAAUUUCGGGAUCAAUAUUUCGGUCAUGCCGUUGGUAUGCACUGUUAUCAUUGAUUUCUCACCUUCUAAAGAACCAUAAUGCCAUUAAUUUGGUGUUACGGGGAAUUAGGACUGUUACCUUGAAAAAAUUAGAGUGUUUAAAGCAGGCUCACGCUUGAAUACAUUAGCAUGGAAUAAUGAAAUAGGACAUCCGAUUCUAUUUUGUUGGUUUCUAGGAUCGAUGUAAUGAUUAAUAGGGAUAGUUGGGGGCAUUAGUAUUCAACUGUCAGAGGUGAAAUUCUUGGAUUUAUUGAAGACUAACUACUGCGAAAGCAUUUGCCAAGGAUGUUUUCAUUAAUCAAGAACGAAAGUUAGGGGAUCGAAGACGAUCAGAUACCGUCGUAGUCUUAACCAUAAACUAUGCCGACUAGGGAUCGGAUGAUGUUAAUUUUUUAAUGACUCAUUCGGCGCCUUACGGGAAAC
This 543-nucleotide ribosomal RNA is filed under the name uncultured Glomeromycotina. RNAcentral's name for it is "SSU rRNA". It matches the Rfam family "Eukaryotic small subunit ribosomal RNA", at positions 555 to 1098 of the family's 1831-position model. Lineage: Eukaryota; Fungi; Glomeromycota. The record is from RNAcentral.